GGAGGGAACAGCUCAGUGGUAGAGCACCUGCUUAGCAUGCACAAGAUCCUGGGUUCAAUCACCAGUACCACCA
Non-coding RNA from Camelus ferus (Wild Bactrian camel), 73 nucleotides. Lineage: Eukaryota; Metazoa; Chordata; Mammalia; Artiodactyla; Camelidae. The record is from Rfam.